Molecule: ribosomal RNA, 1107 nt
Filed under: Triticum aestivum (bread wheat)
Lineage: Eukaryota; Viridiplantae; Streptophyta; Magnoliopsida; Poales; Poaceae
Description: partial small subunit ribosomal RNA
Source: RNAcentral
AUGCUUGCUCAGGUUACUCUGCAGUUGCAACCGAUGUUCAAGCGGUCCGUCACGUUCUUGGAGCGCGACGACUCGGACUUGGCAGCACAGGUGGCCGUGUGGGGCCAUCUGCACGAGUUCGGCGACAUGACAUGGCUGCCACGCCAGGGGAAGGUCAUCUACCGCGAGGAUGACCGUGUCGAUGUCUCGUCGCCCGGCGAUGGCCUCAACGACUACCUCGGCUUCCGCUCCUUCCCGACGCUGGGGCUCAUCAUCGCAAGAGUCGCGGAGGAGCAUGUGGAGGAAAGCAACGACAUGGCACGGUGCCUAGCCGCAGGGGUGCUGCCUGCAUCAUUCCCCAUGCAGGCGUAUGGCUUCACGAACGACGGUUCCUCCUUCACGGGAUACCCGGUGGUCGGGUACCAGCACCGCAUCCAGGCGUCCGGCUCAUGCAUCGAUGCCAAGGACAACCUGCUCCGCUCCUCAUGCCCAUGGGACCCAUGCGUCCGAAGCCUCUUCUUCUACAACACUGGCUUCAGCGUCACGCUCUCCAAAGCCCCAGCGUUGGUCGCCGACAUGCAACGACUCCGCGACCUGAACCCGCGCGCCCUAUGCAGCCUCGACGCGAAGAUGGGCAUGCUCAUCCGCUACGUUGGGGCCUCCUCCGCCUACCUCGGCAAGACGGAGGACUCGGUCAACUUUGACUUCACCUACUACCGGAGCUACACCCAAGGCAGGCCGCGUGCUCACUCUGAUGUGAUCGACGAGCUCGAACAAAUGGCUUUGCGCAAGUAUGGCGCAGUCCCGCAAUGGGGCAAGAACCGCAACUUCGCCUUCGACGGCGCCAUCGCCAAGUACGCAAAGGCCGGCGAGUUCCUCAAAGUGAAGGAGAGGUACGACCCAGACGGGGUCUUCUCUAGCGAGUGGAGCGACCACGUGCUCGGCAUUGAUGGUAGCCCCAACAUAGUCCAAAAGGGUUGCGCCAUCGAAGGGCUUUGCAUAUGCUCUCACGACUCGCACUGCGCGCCAGAACAAGGCUAUUACUGUCGGCCUGGAAAGGUGUACACGGAGGCAAGGGUAUGCUCCUUCCGACCCACCUCACACCGCGACCACAACGACGAAAUAUGA